RNAcentral lists this ribosomal RNA (483 nucleotides) under uncultured bacterium. RNAcentral describes it as "partial 16S ribosomal RNA". It matches the Rfam family "Bacterial small subunit ribosomal RNA", at positions 28 to 507 of the family's 1533-position model. The record is from RNAcentral.
GACGAACGCUGGCGGCGUGCUUAACACAUGCAAGUCGAACGAUGAAGCGGGUGCUUGCACUCGUGGAUUAGUGGCGAACGGGCGAGUAACACGUGAGUAACCUGUCCUUUUCUUUGGGAUAACGGCUGGAAAUGGCUGCUAAUACUGGAUAUUCAGGCUGCAUCGCAUGGUGUGGUUUGGAAAGGUUUUUUCUGGGAUUGGGUGGGCUCGCGGCCUAUCAGCUUGUUGGUGGGGUGAUGGCUUACCAAGGCUUUGACGGGUAGCCGGCCUGAGAGGGUGGUCGGUCGCACUGGGACUGAGAUACGGCCCAGACUCCUACGGGAGGCAGCAGUGGGGAAUAUUGCACAAUGGACGAAAGUUUGAUGCAGCGACGCCGCGUGGAGGGUGUAGGCCUUCGGGUUGUGAACUCCUUUUUCUCGCGAAAAAGGCACAGUUUUGGCUGUGUUGAUGGUAGUGGGGGAAGAAGCGCCGGCUAACUACGUG